RNAcentral lists this ribosomal RNA (251 nucleotides) under uncultured Subdoligranulum sp. RNAcentral describes it as "partial 16S ribosomal RNA". It matches the Rfam family "Bacterial small subunit ribosomal RNA", at positions 90 to 339 of the family's 1533-position model. Lineage: Bacteria; Bacillati; Bacillota; Clostridia; Eubacteriales; Oscillospiraceae. The record is from RNAcentral.
GCUUAGUGGCGAACGGGUGAGUAACGCGUGAGUAACCUGCCCUAGAGUGGGGGACAACAGUUGGAAACGACUGCUAAUACCGCAUAAGCCCACGGUACCGCAUGGUACUGAGGGAAAAGGAUUUAUUCGCUUUAGGAUGGACUCGCGUCCAAUUAGCUAGUUGGUGAGGUAACGGCCCACCAAGGCGACGAUUGGUAGCCGGACUGAGAGGUUGAACGGCCACAUUGGGACUGAGACACGGCCCAGACUCC